RNAcentral lists this ribosomal RNA (372 nucleotides) under Triticum aestivum (bread wheat). RNAcentral describes it as "partial small subunit ribosomal RNA". The record is from RNAcentral. Lineage: Eukaryota; Viridiplantae; Streptophyta; Magnoliopsida; Poales; Poaceae.
AGGUCGCGGUGGCCCCUUUGGGAAGGUCACGGCGGCGCCCCGAGAAGGCCGCAGCCCCUAUCCGUGGCCAAGGGUGGAGCCUCUUGUCAGGUCCGGUGGGCGGCGGAGAUCAGGCGGUGGAGGGAGGAGCGGCUCGGCGCCGUGGGGCAAGGCGGCAGCGCGGUGGGAGGAACGGAGGCGGUGCGCCGGGGGGCAGGGCGGCGGCUCGCUGGGAGGCCGGGUGCUGCGCGCCGUGGGGCAGGGCGGUGGUGGUGGCGCGAUUCGGGAGGGCGGCGACGGUGGUGGCCUGAUUCGGGGAGGGUAGCCGCCGAUCGAGGGGGUGGGGGAUUAGGGACGGGAUCGAGGGGGUGCAGGUCUGGGAACGGAUCGUGG